AGAGUUUGAUCAUGGCUCAGGACGAACGCUGGCGGCGUGCCUAACACAUGCAAGUCGAGCGGAGAACUUCGGUUCUCAGCGGCGGACGGGUGAGUAACACGUGGGUAACCUGCCUUGUAGAGGGGGAUAGCCUUCCGAAAGGAAGAUUAAUACCGCAUAACAUUAUGCUUUCGCAUGAGAGUAUAAUCAAAGGAGCAAUCCGCUACAAGAUGGACCCGCGGCGCAUUAGCUAGUUGGUGAGGUAACGGCUCACCAAGGCGACGAUGCGUAGCCGGCCUGAGAGGGUGAACGGCCACAUUGGAACUGAGACACGGUCCAGACUCCUACGGGAGGCAGCAGUGGGGAAUAUUGCACAAUGGGCGAAAGCCUGAUGCAGCAACGCCGCGUGAGUGAUGAAGGCCUUAGGGUUGUAAAGCUCUGUCUUCUGGGACGAUAAUGACGGUACCAGAGGAGGAAGCCACGGCUAGCUACGUGCCAGCAGCCGCGGUAAUACGUAGGUGGCAAGCGUUGUCCGGAUUUACUGGGCGUAAAGGAUGCGUAGGCGGAUGCUUAAGUCAGAUGUGAAAAUCCCGGGCUUAACUUGGGAACUGCAUUUGAAACUGGGUAUCUAGAGUGCGGGAGAGGAGAGUGGAAUUCCUAGUGUAGCGGUGAAAUGCGUAGAGAUUAGGAAGAACACCAGUGGCGAAGGCGACUCUCUGGACCGUAACUGACGCUGAGGCAUGAAAGCGUGGGGAGCAAACAGGAUUAGAUACCCUGGUAGUCCACGCCGUAAACUAUGAAUACUAGGUGUGGGAGUUGUCAUGACUUCCGUGCCGCAGUUAACACAAUAAGUAUUCCGCCUGGGGAGUACGGUCGCAAGAUUAAAACUCAAAGGAAUUGACGG
Molecule: ribosomal RNA, 883 nt
Filed under: uncultured bacterium
Lineage: Bacteria
Description: bacterial SSU rRNA
Rfam family: Bacterial small subunit ribosomal RNA
Source: RNAcentral